RNAcentral lists this small RNA (29 nucleotides) under Bombyx mori (domestic silkworm). Its description in RNAcentral is "piRNA piR-bmo-1283679". The record is from RNAcentral. Lineage: Eukaryota; Metazoa; Arthropoda; Insecta; Lepidoptera; Bombycidae.
UACAUAUAAAUCGAUGUGACUUCUCAUUA